GACGAACGCUGGCGGCGUGCCUAAUACAUGCAAGUCGCACGCAGUGGGGACGGGUGAGUAACACGUGGGUAACCUCCCAUCAGAGGGGAUAACACUUGGAAACAGGUGCUAAACCGAUACUGAUGGAUGGACCCGAGGUGCAUUAGCUCGUUGGUGAGGUACAGGCUGACCAAGGCCACGAUGCAUAGACGACCCGAGAGGACGACCAGCCACACUGGGACUGAGAUACGGCCCAGACUCCGACGUGAGGCAGCAGUGGGGAAUGUUGGACAAUGGGGGAAACUCUGAUCCAGCCAUCCGGCGUGUGGGAUGAAGGCCGUCGGGUUUUAAAGCACGUUUGGCAGGGAGGCGGAACCUGCAGAAUAAGCACCGGCUAACUACGUGCCAGCAGCCGCGGUAAUAC
Molecule: ribosomal RNA, 403 nt
Filed under: uncultured bacterium
Lineage: Bacteria
Description: partial 16S ribosomal RNA
Rfam family: Bacterial small subunit ribosomal RNA
Source: RNAcentral